RNAcentral lists this ribosomal RNA (350 nucleotides) under Aquilonastra minor. Its description in RNAcentral is "partial 12S ribosomal RNA". It matches the Rfam family "Bacterial small subunit ribosomal RNA", at positions 865 to 1377 of the family's 1533-position model. The record is from RNAcentral. Lineage: Eukaryota; Metazoa; Echinodermata; Asteroidea; Valvatida; Asterinidae.
CCUAACACCCGAGAACUACAAACAAAAGUUUAAAACUCAAAGGACUUGGCGGUAUUUUAGACCUACCUGGAGGAGCUUGCCACCUAACCGAUAACCCACGAAAAACCUUACCAGCCUUAGCAACUAACCAACCUGUAUACCAUCGUCGUCAGUCUACCCCACAAGGGAAAAGUAUACAAAAAGAACUACCCUCACUACGUCAGAUCGAGGUGCAGUUAAUAGGCUGGGGGUGAGUGAGCUACAGCAUUAUAACAAAUUAAACACAAUUAUGGACAGCUCAAUGAAAAAUAAACUAGAAACAGGAUUCAGCAGUAAUGUUUAACAGAAAAUACACAUGAAAAACUACCCAG